UCUCGUAAAGUCUCCAGAAAUUAACAUAACAAACUCCAUCCUGUAGGAGGCGCUGUGUUAAAACCCCCUGGGUCCUGAGAGUGCGGUCCUGAGAGCGUGGUCCUGUGAGCGCUGUUGGUUCUCCAGGCCUGCAGGUACACCCUACUCCCCCGCAUACUUGCGCUGUUGGGCGAUGUAAUGAGCAUGCCAGAACAGUAGUUGGCGGUGUUUUCCUAAAAGUCAGUGAAUUCUAUCCAAUCAGAGCACUCCUUUUUUUGUGUCGUCAUUUCCGCAAACAGUGAAACAUGGCGCAGGCCGGCACGUUCGUGUGGACCGACAGCGAGGUGGAAUUACUUUUAAAUGUGGUUAGGGAAUAUAAAGUUAACAAGACACGAGAAAACAUCGAUUGGGAGUCUUGUCGGAGCAAGUAUGUGGACAUCUUAAGGCAGUAUUUGGAGCAGUAUCCUGCGGAGACGUCGACCGAGUUUCCGCAUGAAAAGCGAGAGCUCACGCGCGCGAUCCUGACCGCGAAGAUGAAGACAGUCAGAGGAAAAUACCGACAGACUGUUGACUCCUGUCGCCGGAGCGGACACGGUAGAGUGUUUGAAGUGUGUGAGCAGAUCUGGGGAGGAUCAGCAGCCAUUACAGCCAUGCCGUCGGGAAUCGAAACCAGUGAUCUGAAUCAGAGCCUUCCUCCUUCGCCUUCUACGUCUUCCUCGUCCACUGAAGAGGACAGUGAGAGAAGACCUGCUUCAGGUCAAACUGAGAGGACACCGUCUGAAGAGAAGACUUCCUGCUGAAACCCAGUGGCUAAACACACUUGAAGAAGACCAACGUGUGAAGAAGAGACUAGUUGAUAUUUUAGAAACUUCAACAAAGCAAUCACAUGACAAUUUUGCUAAAAUGAACGAUACACUCAAUAGGUUGACCGCAUCUGUCGCUGAAGGCUUUUCUCUCCUGAGAGAAGUGUUGAUCGCUCCUCCUGCUCAACACUACAUGCUGUAUGAUCACAUUCAUUCACACACACAAGCAGAUUCAACUCACCUCAAUUCAUUCACCUCACCGUCUGACAGAAGAGCACAGCAUGAUGCAAACAGCACACGAGAUGUACCUCACACAUCACUUCAGAGCUCAGGACAGUUUUCAUGUAGUCAAACCCUCUCCAGUGAUGAGUAAAGCAUGCUUUAUUCUUUUUCUUAAUGGGAUUUUGUUCAUCUUUUGUAUUAGUCUAACAGUCACAAGAUUGUGUUUUUAUUUGCACAAAAUUGCAUUGGCAAUAAACGUGAAGCUUUAAGAAGGAUGGAAGCUAUUAUUGUGUUAAUUCUAAUACUUUAAAUUAGAACUUGACUUUUUAUUUUCAAUGACACAGUGCAAUGUUCAUGACAUGUCAAACUGUUCAAAAAUAAAAAUGUCUUUCAAACUGAUGUGUGCGGUUUAAUCAGAACAAAUGAUGGAAAUAUCCUUGUUUCUGUUGUUUAGUAGCUCUUCAUUUAAACCUAAAAGAAUAUCAGUCUAUCCUGUCUCUUAUGGAUCUGUUACCAUGCGUGCUCUGCAUAAAGACGGUCCAAAAUACUCUUCCUGUGCAUUGCUCCUGAUACGGUAACAGUGGGUAGGCGGGGUCGCCUAGAAUGUAAACAGAAAUUGGCGCUUCAUUGUCAAUAAGUGGUCUUGGGCACGGUGGGAUUUUUUCAUUUUUUAGCUACUCGUUGAUUGAUGAGUUGGAGAAAAUGCUUCCUGGACAUUUCACCACCACAUCCAUGAAGCAGUACUUAUAGUCACAGAGCACGUGAUGCAGUAAAUAACUUACAACUGGAGUUAAAUAAGCUCCGCCUCCUGGAGCUGCAGAGACAGUUGGGGACCGUCAACAAAGACAUUGACUGUAUAUAGAGAACUGGAACCCCGUGUUCCAAAUAUUUUUAAAGAAAU
This 1905-nucleotide long non-coding RNA is filed under the name Oryzias javanicus (javanese ricefish). RNAcentral's name for it is "lncRNA (ENSOJAG00000012687.1)". Lineage: Eukaryota; Metazoa; Chordata; Actinopteri; Beloniformes; Adrianichthyidae. The record is from RNAcentral.